RNAcentral lists this ribosomal RNA (468 nucleotides) under uncultured bacterium. Its description in RNAcentral is "partial 16S ribosomal RNA". It matches the Rfam family "Bacterial small subunit ribosomal RNA", at positions 28 to 507 of the family's 1533-position model. The record is from RNAcentral.
GACGAACGCUGGCGGCGUGCUUAACACAUGCAAGUCGAACGGAAAGGCCCUGCUUUUGUGGUGUGCUCGAGUGGCGAACGGGUGAGUAACACGUGAGUAACCUGCCCUUGACUUUGGGAUAACUUCAGGAAACUGGGGCUACUACCGUAUAGGAUCUCCUGCUGCGUGGUGGGGGUUGGAAAGUUUCGGCGGUUGGGGAUGGACUCGCGGCUUAUCAGCUUGCUGGUUGGGUAGUGGCUUACCAAGGCUGUGACGGGUACCCGGCCUGUGAGGGGGAACGGCGACAUUGGGACUGAGAUACGGAGCAGAAUCCUACGGGAGGCAGCAGUGGGGAAUAUUGCACAGUGGGCGGGAGCCUGAGGCAGCAACGCCGCGUGCGGGAUGACGGCCUUCGGGUUGUAAACAGCAUUCGCCUGUGACGAAGCGUGAGUGACGGUAAUGGGAAAAGAAGCACCGGCUAACUACGUG